UGUGACCUCAAAUCAGGUAGGACUACCCGCUGAACUUAAGCAUAUCAAUAAGCGGAGGAAAAGAAACUAACAAGGAUUCCCCUAGUAACUGCGAGUGAAGCGGGAAAAGCUCAAAUUUAAAAUCUGGCAGUCUUAUGGCUGUCCGAGUUGUAAUCUAGAGAAGUGUUAUCCGCGCUGGACCGUGUACAAGUCUCCUGGAAUGGAGCAUCAUAGAGGGUGAGAAUCCCGUCUUUGACAUGGACUGCCAGGGCUUUGUGAUGCGCUCUCAAAGAGUCGAGUUGUUUGGGAAUGCAGCUCAAAAUGGGUGGUAAAUUCCAUCUAAAGCUAAAUAUUGGCGAGAGACCGAUAGCGAACAAGUACCGUGAGGGAAAGAUGAAAAGAACUUUGGAAAGAGAGUUAAACAGUACGUGAAAUUGCUGAAAGGGAAACGCUUGAAGUCAGUCGCGUCAUCCAGGGAUCAACCUUGCUUUUGCUUGGUGCACUUCCUGGUUUGAUGGGUCAGCAUCAAUUUUGACUAUUGGAAAAAGGUUGAGGGAAUGUGGCAUCUUUGGAUGUGUUAUAGCCCUUGGUCACAUACAAUGGUUGGGAUUGAGGAACUCAGCACGCCGCAAGGCCGGGUUUUAAACCACGUACGUGCUUAGGAUGCUGGCAAUAUGGCUUUAAUCGACCCGUCUUGAAACACGGACCAAGGAGUCUAACAUGCCUGCGAGUGUUUGGGUGGAAAACCCGAACGCGUAAUGAAAGUGAAAGGUUGAGAUCCCUGUCGUGGGGAGCAUCGACGCCCGGACCAGACCUUUUGUGACGGUUCCGCGGUAGAGCAUGUAUGUUGGGACCCGAAAGAUGGUGAACUAUGCCUGAAUAGGGUGAAUCCAGAGGAAACUCUGGUGGAGGCUCGUAGCGAUUCUGACGUGCAAAUCGAUCGUCAAAUUUGGGUAUAGGGGCGAAAGACUAAUCGAACC
RNAcentral lists this ribosomal RNA (959 nucleotides) under Cortinarius sp. 3 MD-2018. Its description in RNAcentral is "eukaryotic LSU rRNA". It matches the Rfam family "Eukaryotic large subunit ribosomal RNA", at positions 1 to 941 of the family's 3401-position model. Lineage: Eukaryota; Fungi; Basidiomycota; Agaricomycetes; Agaricales; Cortinariaceae. The record is from RNAcentral.